CCCUUAGAUGUUCUGGGCCGCACGCGCGCUACACUGAUGCAUUCAACGAGUUUCUUCCUGGUCCGAGAGGAAUGGGUAACCUUUUGAAAGUGCAUCGUGAUAGUGAUAGACUAUUGCAAUUAUUGGUCUUCAACGAGGAAUUCCUAGUAGACGUAGUUCAUCAGACUGCAUCGAUUACGUCCCUGCCCUUUGUACACACCGCCCGUCGCUCCUACCGAUUGAAUGCUCAGGUGAGCCAUUCGGACUUUCAUCAUGCUGGUUUCCAGUUUUGAUGAAGGAAAGUCUUGCGAACCUUAUCAUUUAGAGGAAGGAGAAGUCGUAACA
RNAcentral lists this ribosomal RNA (324 nucleotides) under uncultured eukaryote. RNAcentral's name for it is "partial 18S ribosomal RNA". It matches the Rfam family "Eukaryotic small subunit ribosomal RNA", at positions 1470 to 1796 of the family's 1831-position model. The record is from RNAcentral.